GGAUGGACUCGCGGCCUAUCAGCUUGUUGGUGGGGUAAUGGCCUACCAAGGCGACGACGGGUAGCCGGCCUGAGAGGGUGACCGGCCACACUGGGACUGAGACACGGCCCAGACUCCUACGGGAGGCAGCAGUGGGGAAUAUUGCACAAUGGGCGGAAGCCUGAUGCAGCGACGCCGCGUGAGGGAUGACGGCCUUCGGGUUGUAAACCUCUUUCAGUAGGGAAGAAGCGAAAGUGACGGUACCUGCAGAAGAAGCGCCGGCUAACUACGUGCCAGCAGCCGCGGUAAUACGUAGGGCGCAAGCGUUAUCCGGAAUUAUUGGGCGUAAAGAGCUCGUAGGCGGUUUGUCGCGUCUGCUGUGAAAGACCGGGGCUCAACUCCGGUUCUGCAGUGGGUACGGGCAGACUAGAGUGCAGUAGGGGAGACUGGAAUUCCUGGUGUAGCGGUGAAAUGCGCAGAUAUCAGGAGGAACACCGAUGGCGAAGGCAGGUCUCUGGGCUGUAACUGACGCUGAGGAGCGAAAGCAUGGGGAGCGAACAGGAUUAGAUACCCUGGUAGUCCAUGCCGUAAACGUUGGGCACUAGGUGUGGGGGACCAUUCCACGUUUUCCGCGCCCGUAGCUAAACGCCAUUAAGUGCCCCGCCUGGGGAGUACGGCCGCAAGGCUAAAACUCAAAGGAAUUGACGGGGGCCCGCACAAGCGGCGGAGCAUGCGGAUUAAUUCGAUGCAACGCGAAGAACCUUACCAAGGCUUGACAUGAACCGGAAAGACCUGGAAACAGGUGCCCCGCUUGCGGUCGGUUUACAGGUGGUGCAUGGUUGUCGUCAGCUCGUGUCGUGAGAUGUUGGGUUAAGUCCCGCAACGAGCGCAACCCUCGUUCUAUGUUGCCAGCGCGUUAUGGCGGGGACUCAUAGGAGACUGCCGGGGUCAACUCGGAGGAAGGUGGGGACGACGUCAAAUCAUCAUGCCCCUUAUGUCUUGGGCUUCACGCAUGCUACAAUGGCCGGUACAAAGGGUUGCGAUACUGUGAGGUGGAGCUAAUCCCAAAAAGCCGGUCUCAGUUCGGAUUGGGGUCUGCAACUCGACCCCAUGAAGUCGGAGUCGCUAGUAAUCGCAGAUCAGCAACGCUGCGGUGAAU
This 1138-nucleotide ribosomal RNA is filed under the name Paenarthrobacter nitroguajacolicus. RNAcentral's name for it is "bacterial SSU rRNA". It matches the Rfam family "Bacterial small subunit ribosomal RNA", at positions 223 to 1367 of the family's 1533-position model. Lineage: Bacteria; Bacillati; Actinomycetota; Actinomycetes; Micrococcales; Micrococcaceae. The record is from RNAcentral.